This is a non-coding RNA of Acanthosepion pharaonis, 114 nucleotides long. The record is from the annotation of a GenBank genome assembly. Lineage: Eukaryota; Metazoa; Mollusca; Cephalopoda; Sepiida; Sepiidae.
UUACGGCCAUAUCAUGUUGAAACACCGGUUCUUGUAUGAUCUCCGACGUUAAACAACAUCAAGCCUGGUCAGUAACUAGAUGGGUGACCGCUUGGGAAUAUUAGGUGCUGUAAG